CUGAAACCGUGUACGUACAAGCAGUGGGAGCCCCACCACUAAGCCAGUGGUGAACUCCACAUACGCAUCCUUUGCUGAGGAUACGGUUAACGGAGCGAAAGCGACGUUCAACCGCAAAACAAGCAGAGGGGGCUUAGUGGUGGGGUGACUGCGUACCUUUUGUAUAAUGGGUCAGCGACUUAUAUUCUGUAGCAAGGUUAACCGAAUAGGGGAGCCGGAGGGAAACCGAGUCUUAACCGGGCGUUAAGUUGCAGGGUAUAGACCCGAAACCCGGUGAUCUAGCCAUGGGCAGGUUGAAGGUUGGGUAACACUAACUGGAGGACCGAACCGACUAAUGUUGAAAAAUUAGCGGAUGACCUGUGGCUGGGGGUGAAAGGCCAAUCAAACCGGGAGAUAGCUGGUUCUCCCCGAAAGCUAUUUAGGUAGCGCCUCGUGAAUUCAUCUCCGGGGGUAGAGCACUGUUUCGGCUAGGGGGCCAUCCCGGCUUACCAACCCGAUGCAAACUGCGAAUACCGGAGAAUGUUAUCACGGGAGACACACGGCGGGUGCUAACGUCCGUCGUGAAGAGGGAAACAACCCAGACCGCCAGCUAAGGUCCCAAAGUCAUGGUUAAGUGGGAAACGAUGUGGGAAGGCCCAGACAGCCAGGAUGUUGGCUUAGAAGCAGCCAUCAUUUAAAGAAAGCGUAAUAGCUCACUGGUCGAGUCGGCCUGCGCGGAAGAUGUAACGGGGCUAAACCAUGCACCGAAGCUGCGGCAGCGACACUCAGGUGU
This 772-nucleotide ribosomal RNA is filed under the name Salmonella enterica subsp. enterica serovar Cerro. Its description in RNAcentral is "partial 23S ribosomal RNA". It matches the Rfam family "Bacterial large subunit ribosomal RNA", at positions 550 to 1221 of the family's 2925-position model. The record is from RNAcentral. Lineage: Bacteria; Pseudomonadati; Pseudomonadota; Gammaproteobacteria; Enterobacterales; Enterobacteriaceae.